GGUGUUCUCCAAGUGAGAGUAAAACCAGUGGCGUCAUUUGGCCUGGGCUCCAGGGGAUUCAGCCCCAAACCUUUCAGUCUGAGUUUCCAUAACCAAAUACAUGUUUUACUGACAAAUGUUAAUGAAAAAAUUUACAAUACAAUAUACUACACUAGGCAGUAGCAGGCACUGCAAGAAGCCCUUGGAGUGAUGUGGAGCCUGCUGUGAUUGGUUGCGAUUUCUCAACACAGUGGACCGCUUGUCCCUUGACCCCACCCCUACAGCACCGGUUAGAUGUCAAUGUGACUCAGCAAAAUGCCUCCCUAUGGACGGAAGCUGAACUUCACUAAAGCAUUUUUAACCCUGUUUAACAUUAGCAAUGUUGAGGAAGUAGAACUGACAAAAUGAAUCAUAGAGGUCCUCUAACCGGUUCCAUUCUACAGUGUCGGGAGGUCAACCUGCAAAUGAGCCAAGGACAGAUGAGAACAGCAGACCAGUGGAGCAUUUAGAACAGCAGCAGCCAGAGGCAAAUGGAGGGGAAGACAAUGAUUUAGGUGACCCUGACACAGGCCAAAACAAGUUAAGUUACCCCAGUAUCCCCUUGACCGUUUUGUAUUGGAAAACUAAAGAGACACUCGAGAGAAGACAAAGAGACAGACAACAGAAGAGUAGGAUAUGAUGGAGAGAGACUCUACAAAAACAUAACAGUCCAUAACAGAAGAGGAUAGACAAAGAACACAGUAAGAAACAAGAACCUGAGACAGCAACAGACAAGACAGAGAAAGUGACAGAAGAGGGCAGAUGGAGAUAGAA
Molecule: long non-coding RNA, 792 nt
Organism: Oncorhynchus keta (chum salmon)
Lineage: Eukaryota; Metazoa; Chordata; Actinopteri; Salmoniformes; Salmonidae
Exons: 3
Source: RefSeq, a predicted model, not a curated record